Molecule: transfer RNA, 74 nt
Filed under: Deltaproteobacteria bacterium
Lineage: Bacteria; Pseudomonadati; Myxococcota; Myxococcia
Description: tRNA-Pro
Rfam family: tRNA
About the family: Transfer RNA (tRNA) molecules are approximately 80 nucleotides in length. Their secondary structure includes four short double-helical elements and three loops (D, anti-codon, and T loops). Further hydrogen bonds mediate the characteristic L-shaped molecular structure. tRNAs have two regions of fundamental functional importance: the anti-codon, which is responsible for specific mRNA codon recognition, and the 3' end, to which the tRNAs corresponding amino acid is attached (by aminoacyl-tRNA synthetases). tRNAs cope with the degeneracy of the genetic code in two manners: having more than one tRNA (with a specific anti-codon) for a particular amino acid; and 'wobble' base-pairing, i.e. permitting non-standard base-pairing at the 3rd anti-codon position.
Source: RNAcentral
CGGGGCGUAGCUCAGCCUGGUAGAGCGCUUGUUUCGGGAACAAGAGGUCGCCGGUUCAAAUCCAGUCGCCCCGA